GGGCUGUAGCUCAGCUGGGAGAGCGUCUGGCUGGUAGCCAGAAGGUCACGGGUUCGAAUCCCGUCAGCUC
RNAcentral lists this transfer RNA (70 nucleotides) under Candidatus Stahliibacteriota bacterium. RNAcentral describes it as "tRNA-Thr". It matches the Rfam family "tRNA". Rfam says of the family: Transfer RNA (tRNA) molecules are approximately 80 nucleotides in length. Their secondary structure includes four short double-helical elements and three loops (D, anti-codon, and T loops). Further hydrogen bonds mediate the characteristic L-shaped molecular structure. tRNAs have two regions of fundamental functional importance: the anti-codon, which is responsible for specific mRNA codon recognition, and the 3' end, to which the tRNAs corresponding amino acid is attached (by aminoacyl-tRNA synthetases). tRNAs cope with the degeneracy of the genetic code in two manners: having more than one tRNA (with a specific anti-codon) for a particular amino acid; and 'wobble' base-pairing, i.e. permitting non-standard base-pairing at the 3rd anti-codon position. The record is from RNAcentral. Lineage: Bacteria; Candidatus Stahliibacteriota.